This 79-nucleotide transfer RNA is filed under the name Chloroflexota bacterium. RNAcentral describes it as "tRNA-Val". It matches the Rfam family "tRNA". Rfam says of the family: Transfer RNA (tRNA) molecules are approximately 80 nucleotides in length. Their secondary structure includes four short double-helical elements and three loops (D, anti-codon, and T loops). The record is from RNAcentral. Lineage: Bacteria; Bacillati; Chloroflexota.
UGGGCGGCUAGCUCAGCUGGUUAGAGCGCUACGUUGACAUCGUAGAGGUCACUGGUUCGAGUCCAGUGUCGCCCACCCA